Oryctolagus cuniculus (rabbit) is the source of this 6304-nucleotide non-coding RNA. The record is from RefSeq and is a predicted model, not a curated record. NCBI's taxonomy places the organism in Eukaryota, Metazoa, Chordata, Mammalia, Lagomorpha, Leporidae.
CAAGGUCCACAUUAUUAGUCCGUCAGAAGCUAUAACAAAAUGCCUAAGGCUGGAUACUUUAUAAAGAAAGGAGGUUUAUUUAGCCUAUAGCUUGGCUAGCUGAAAGCCCAAGUUCAGGUAAUUCAAUCUGUUGGCCUUUGGUGAGGCCUUCAUGGCAGAUGGCAUCAGAAAAGUCAGCAUAUAAGAGUUGCAAUCUGUCAUCUGGUACAUUGCAAGACAGGAAUACAGAGAGAUUCUGAGGCCAGGCUUACUAUUUUUACAACAGCUUGCUCUCUUGGUAACUAAUUUUUGUCUGCAAGAAUUACCUGAAUCCAUUCCAAGAGUGGUGCCCCCAAUAAUCUUAGUCAACUCCUAUUCUUGAAGUUCUUAAAAUUCCACUAUCUCAAUGCCACCACUCUUGGGACCAAGCUUAAGCAGAAAAAAUUUUAUGAGAUAUAUCCAAACCAUAUCUAAACCAUAGCAAGCAUCUUUAGAGAAAAAAAGAGAAAUGAAGUCUUGUGAUGUUCGGCUGUGGUGUUUGGUGGUGUGAUGAUGAUUUACAAUAAACCUAAGGAUAGGUAGAAUGAAUGAAUCUAACAUCUAAAUCUCAUUUUGGCUCCCCCUUAAUUGUAUAAUGUAAGUUACUUUUCUCUGGGUAAUUUUUCUACUGUCCUCUGUGCAACAAUGUCCCUGCUUACCUGCCAGGAACAAAAGAUGGACAAAUGAAGAAAUUUCUACAUAUUUCAUUAAUUAGAUUAUCAAAUGAGUUUAACUGAUUAUGGGAAAACUCUUUUGUCUGAGAGGCCAUCUAUAAAAAAUAUCAUGGCCUAUGUGAUUUCUUGAUUCUUUCCUUCCAACUUCAUUCCACAUAUAGCUAUUCUAUAUCCAUAUCCUCUUAUCCUACCCAGGGUACCAUUGCCACUAGGUCUUAUGUGAGAUGGAUUUUUAUGAAAGUUUAGGUUAAGGGUGAGUGAAAUUAGCAUUAUAUGAUACAGAAAACCACUAACAUUAAAUACUAUGAUCUAGAAUGUCAUUUGCCAUUCCUCCCAAAGGCGCAUUCCUUAUACCCAGUUUGGUCUCAUCUUACUGCCAUCUUUUAAGGUCCUUUUUCCUACUGAAGGCCUUCUUCUCAUCACUGUAGAUGCUACCCCAAAUCCCAAAGCUGCUGUUAGUCUUGUGGAACAGCAAAGUUCCUUCUCUGCAUCAUGCUAUGCCUAGAGGGCCCCAUAUUUCCUAGCCAGAAUUAUCUGUUGUAAGUCAUCAAGACUCAUCAAAGUAUUUCUCACAGUAACAUACCCAACUGGUUCCCUCCCCUAUGAUGUGUGAUGUGGAAUCAAAGCCAUUUUGGUUUCUAUAUAGUUAUCUUUCCCUGUUUGCUAUUUAAGCAUCUGACAGUGGAAAAGUAUGUAAUGGAAAAUGCUGUCUUGCCUUGAACCACUUCAAAUGCUUUGAAUUGCAGUAGCGUUCAGGGUAAAUAAUGGAGAAUUGCAAGCAAGAACAAUGAGUCAGGGCUGGUGCUGUGCAAAGUGGGUAAAGUUACUGCUUCCAGUGCUGGCAUCCUAUAUGGGCACCGGUUUGAUUCCCAACUGUUCCACUUCCAGUCAAGCUCCCUACUAAUGCACCUUGGAAAGCAGUUGAGGAUAGCCCAAGUCCUUGGGCCCUACACUCACAUGGAAGACCUGGAGGAAGCUCCUGGCUUCCGACUUUGGAUUGGCCCAGCUCUGGCCAUUGUGGCCAUUUGGGAGAAUGAAUCAGCAGAUAGAAGAUCUCUCUCUCUCUCUCUCUCUUUUUCUCUCUCUCCCCCUUUCAAAAAAUAAAUAAAUUCUUUUUUAAAAAAAGAAAAAGAACAAUGAAUCAUGUUGGGAGGGGGUGGGCUGUUGAGGCAUAGACAUGUGAGUUAAUCAUAAGGCAGCAUAAUAUGCACAAUUCUGAAGGAACAUACAAUAAACAGAACUAAUAUAAAGAAGAAGUCAUUAAGUAUAUACUUGCAUGUAGUGUUCAGUGAAAGAUUUAUAGAGGAAGUGAUGAUUCAAUAGAGCUUUAGAUGUCAAAUCUUUGUCUAAGUAGAUAACAAUGUGCAAAGGGUUGGAUUCCACACAGAAAAAAACAGCAUGUUCAGACACACAAAAAUAUUCCACUAUAUGUUCAAACGGCAAUAGGCAAUUGCCAUGAUUGGAUAUUUAAACUCUAGAAGAACCCCAAUCUUAUACUUUAUAAAAAAAAAUCAACCCACAACGGACCAGAUAGCUAACAAGACCUGGAAUCAUCAAAUUAUUAGAUGAAAACAUAAGGGAAGAACUGCAAGACACUGGCAUAGGCAAAGACUUAUUAGAUAAGACACCAGCAGCACAGGCAAUAAAAGCAAAAAUAGACAAAUGAAAUUACAUCAAGCUAAGACGCUUCUACACAGCAAAGGAAACAAUUAGCAAAGUGAAGAGGCAACCAACAAAAUGGGAGAAAAUAAUUGCCAACUAUACAUCAGAUAAAUGAUUAAUAGCCAAAAUAUAUGAGGAGCUCAAAAAACUCAACAGCAACAAAACAAAGAAUCCAGUAAAGAAAUGAGCCAACGAUAUAAAUAGGCAUUUUUCAAAGUACGGAAUUACAAAUUGCAAACAAACAAAAUAAAAAAUUCUCAGGAUCAUUAGCCAUUGGGAAAUGCAAAUAAAAAUCACAAUAAGGUAACAUUUUACCCCAGUUAGAAUGGCUAUUAUCCAAAAUUCAAAAAUUAAAAAAUGAUGGUAAGUGGAGAAGAAAGCAAUUUAAUGCACCAUCUGUGGGAAUAUUUACAAGUAUUUACCAAUGUACAAAUGUACAAAUCUUUGUACAAAAAUGUGCAAAUAUUUACAAAUAUUAUGAAACACAGAAUGGAGAUUCUUCAGAAAACUACAAGUAGAUCUACCAUAUGACCUGGCUAUUCCACUCCUGGGAAUAUAUCCAAAGGAAAUGAAAUCAGCAUAUGAAGAAUUACCUGUACUCUGGUGUUUAUAACAGGUCAACUCACAAUAGCUAAGAUGUAGAAUCAACCUAAAUGCCCAUAAACUGAGGACUGGAUAAAGAAAAUGUGGUUUUCAUCCAUGAUAGAAUAUUACUCAUCAAUAAAAAAAGAAUGAAAUCCUGACAUUUCCAACAAAAUGGGUGCAACUGGAAAUCAUUAUGCUAAGUGAAAUAAUCAGAUCCAAAAAGACAAAUAUUGUCUUAUUUGUGGUCAUUAAUAUAUGCAGAGAGUAUUAAGAAAGUGUUGAUGACAUAUAAUUUUAAAUAGUGCUUCAUGGAAUCAUAUCAUGUAUAUGACAAUAUAGUAUUAUUUCUCAUGAAAAAAGAAGAAUUUAUAAGGGACUAGUGAGGCCUCUGUGAGUGCUAGUAAUGCUUUGUUCUUAAUUUGGUGUUGGUUAUGAGUGUGACCAAAUGGCAAAAAUCCUCAUUUAUCUGUACAUAUGUACAUUUCUUGGUAUGUAUACUGUAUUUCAAUAAAAUAUUUUUAAAACUCUAGAGGAGCAAAAUGUAGAAGAAGAGCAGAGCAUGAAUGAUUGCUAAGCUAUGAGGGGCAGUCACAGUUGACUGCCUACCCAAUAAUCAUUUACUUCCAACAUAUCUGAGUGUGCACUGCUGAAAGUUUGAGUCAUGAUGGGACUAAGCUGAUCAGGAGAAUUCCAUCUACCUUUGCCAGAUAUUGAUCUGUGGUUUUGCAUAUGACCUAGUUUUGGCCAAUAGAACAUAACAGUGGGUUGCAGACAUUUGCAGAAGACAAGGUCACAAAGAUGACAGAGAUAUUAACUGAAAGCCUUGAUGGCAUCAAUCCAGCCUGAAUCUAGCUAUUUCCGUAUUCUACGUAAGUGAUAUAAUAGAAGACUGCAUUGGUUAAGUCACAUUAAUGAAGUUUUCUAAUAUUUGUAGCCACAAGCUUUGUUGCUGACACAUCACUUAAGGUGUUAAUUCUGCGCCAGGAACAAACUCUAAAGGACUGGAGAAAAGUCGUUGUGAAUAAUCAGAAAUGGAUUUACAAAGGAGGUGUGGCUUUAGUCAAGAAAACACUUGCCAGUGAAAGGAGUGAAGUUAGAUUUGAUAAGCCUCGAAGAUUAUGGUUACUUCUUCAACCAGCAGAGAUACUGAAGGUAGCUCUGAAACAGGACGUGGAAAUGAGUAGAGGCUUUCCAAAGAGAUUCGCCCACUCAGUGAUGGGAGAAGAAUGGCAACCCCAGUAAAGACCUGAGCCAUUCUCUUUGGCCUGGUUGAAUGCUGGCAUCUAGCAGUCAAUCAUUAUGUCAGCAAAAGAAGCACUGUGGACAACUGGAUUGUUCUGAUUGAAACUUGUGUCAGCUUAUCCACUUGCCACUUCAUAGCUUUAGUUUCUGCCUAUGUAUUUCUAACCUUAUUAUCAUCCAUAGAAGAUCUGUUUAUUUCUAAAACAGUUCUUUGAUAUGCUUUAAAUUCACCAUCAGAUUUUUCUUCUGACUGAUAUUUGAAUUCCAUGGAGAAAGAGGCUAUAGGACCACACAAAGUCAAAAUAUUUUGCCUGAGUUAGUAUUAAACAACUGCUGUUUGUUGCUUAAUAGAGUGAUAACGUGCCAUGCUCUGGAGUCUGACACAUCCCAGUUCUGUCAUCUGCUAACUGUAUAAGUUACGGCAAUCCACUUAACAUUUAUAUGACUCAGCUUUCUCACCUAUGAAAUGGGAUUCAACCAGAAAUAAUAAUAUCCAGAUGAUCACCACAGUGUUUUUACUAGGAUUACAUACUGUAUUACUUAUAAAAUGUUCAACAGUGUUUAUCAAAUGAUAAGCACUGAUGAAUGUUAAAUUAUUAUUAAUUCACAACAAUUUAUCCCUUAGGAUAUUUGAAUAUUCAAGAGUUCUUCAGACAAAGGACAUACAGAAAUCUGCUUUGAAAGUCAGCUGGUGCCUCUGCGGGAAGUUCUAACAUCUGAAGCGAGAGUGUCCUUCACUGGCUCGGAUCAGAAAUUCGAAAAUCUACCUGGGUCAGGAGAUUUACAGAGAAGCGGAAAGAGAGAGAUUUUCCAUCUGCUGGUUCACUCACCACAUGACCACAAUGGCCGGAGCUGAGCCAAUUUGAAGUCAGGAACCAGGAACUUCUUCAGGGUCUCCCACGUGAGUGCAGGUGCCCAACUAAUUGGGCCAUCUUCCGCUGCUUUCCCAGGUGCAUUAGCAGGGAGCUGGGUCAGAAGUGGAGCAGUCAGGACUUGAACUGGUGCCCAUAACGAAGGCUGACACUGCAGAUGGAGGCUUAACUUUCUAUGCCGCAAUGCCAGCACCAACGGUGGUAUGAUUUUUAAAAAGCAACUUACUGGGAUUAUUACCUGUGUAGAUAUCAAAUAUAAUUCACAAUCUGAUCCAGGAUGUCGCUCCCCGUCUUCGUGGAGGAACGACACAGGACCCUGCGCUGUUCUUUCGUCUGCUCAGCCCUCCCCGGGUUUGCUGCUGGUUCUUCCCGGGUUGGCUGCCGACCCUUCCACCUCCGUGGAAGGGCGGUUCCCCCUGCCACAUUCCCCACUUCCGCGGGGGAGCGGCACACCACCGGCCGGCUCUCUCGGGGGCUGCACAGGUGUUCCCCUUUGAUGUUCCUGGUGCAUGCCGUCUCUCUCCUCCUUUAUAGUCCUCCUCCGCCAAUCCUAACUCGGCUGCCCACACGCCGAGUACGCUGCUCUCCUCCAAUCAGGAGCAGGUCCUGCAGCUUGUCAAGUUGGUGAGAGGCAGCUGUGUAGAAGCUGUUUUCUCCUCUCCCAGCGCCAUAUUGUGGGAGAGCAGAUGCAUAGAAUAAGUCUUAAUUCCAGUAACUUAGUCUAGUCCGGGUUGCUCCCCACACAGGAGAACCCUUUCCCAUCUCUAUCUUUACAGGGGAGAAUGUUCUGAAGUUAAAAGUUCCUCAUUGUAUCUUGCCAGCCUAGCCUGAUAAGGGAAAGACAAAGGAUUUUUGUUUAUCUUUACAGGCAGUUUUUCCAUUCUCCAGGAGUGUUCAGCUCAGAUAUAAAGAGGUCCUUCCACUGCAAAAAUGGAAAUAAACUUUGGUCUGUCUUUGUUGUAAUGAGAGCAUACAGUACAUAUAUCAAGCAGUUUGAAAAAAAAUGCUGAGUCUUUGCUUAUUUUCUGCUUCAGUAAUCUUUAUUGAACAACAAUCCUGUUCUACACAAAUAAUGUUUGUUUUAUUUGGGGGGCUCUGCAAUCCUUUAUCAAAAAUUUAUUGUGUACCUGGUCUCAUCUCGACUUUCUACAGCCAUUUAUGAGAGUAGACCAGCUCCAGGGAUUAGAGGCUGCAAAGGCACAUUGAACACAAUGCUAAUAUUUAGAGGUUUUCUGUAAUGCAGAAUAAAUA